This 253-nucleotide ribosomal RNA is filed under the name uncultured bacterium. Its description in RNAcentral is "partial 16S ribosomal RNA". It matches the Rfam family "Bacterial small subunit ribosomal RNA", at positions 524 to 776 of the family's 1533-position model. The record is from RNAcentral.
UACAGAGGUGGCAAGCGUUGUUCGGAAUUACUGGGCGUAAAGGGCGCGUAGGCGGCCUUGUGAGUCGGACGUGAAAUCCCCAAGCUUAACUUGGGAACUGCGUCCGAUACUGCAAGGCUCGAGUUCGGGAGAGGAAUGUGGAAUUCCAGGUGUAGCGGUGAAAUGCGUAGAUAUCUGGAGGAACACCGGUGGCGAAGGCGGCAUUCUGGACCGAAACUGACGCUGAGGCGCGAAAGCCAGGGGAGCAAACGGG